UACGUAGGGGGCAAGCGUUGUCCGGAAUCAUUGGGCGUAAAGAGCGUGUAGGCGGCCCGGCAAGUCCGCUGUAAAAGUCAAAGGCUCAACCUUUGAAUGUCAGUGGAUACUGCCGGGCUAGAGUCCGGAAGAGGCGAGUGGAACUCCUGGUGUAGCGGUGGAAUGCGCAGAUAUCAGGAAGAACACCAACGGCGAAGGCAGCUCGCUAGGACGGUACUGACGCUGAGACGCGAAAGCGUGGGGAGCGAACAGG
Molecule: ribosomal RNA, 253 nt
Filed under: uncultured bacterium
Lineage: Bacteria
Description: partial 16S ribosomal RNA
Rfam family: Bacterial small subunit ribosomal RNA
Source: RNAcentral